This is a long non-coding RNA of Eurytemora carolleeae, 333 nucleotides long. RefSeq lists it as uncharacterized. The record is from RefSeq and is a predicted model, not a curated record. The transcript is spliced from 3 exons. Lineage: Eukaryota; Metazoa; Arthropoda; Copepoda; Calanoida; Temoridae.
AAAGAAAACAAAAUGCGCACAAUCCUAUGUCACAAGACCAAUAUCUAAUAUCAGAUUUAGUAUGAAAGAAAAAGAGGAAGUACACAUCCCAGCUGCGGUUUGUUCUUCUUCUUCAGAACAAUUCUCUUCAUCAAGCGACCAACCCAACAUAUUAGUACAUCCCACCUCUAUACCACUCAUUAACAUUUGUCAUCCAAGCAGUUCGACCAUCAUGUCUCAGACUCAAUCUGUUCCAUCUUCAGCAGAAGGAGUUUUACUGCCAGCACCAUCCUGCAGUAGUUUAACCUCUAUAGCAUUAAACUCAGGAGAAUAUCACGAACCAAUACAAGUUAU